RNAcentral lists this transfer RNA (64 nucleotides) under Taenia hydatigena. Its description in RNAcentral is "tRNA-Ser". Lineage: Eukaryota; Metazoa; Platyhelminthes; Cestoda; Cyclophyllidea; Taeniidae. The record is from RNAcentral.
CCUAUACUUAUGAUAAUGUUUGAUUUGAAAUCAUAUUAAUUGCUUUUAAUAGCAACAUGGGUUU